GGAGAGGUGGCAGAGUGGUCGAAUGCACUCGACUUGAAAUCGAGAGUUCUGAAAGGAACCCAGGGUUCGAAUCCCUGCCUCUCCG
Molecule: transfer RNA, 85 nt
Filed under: Oscillatoriales cyanobacterium SpSt-402
Lineage: Bacteria; Bacillati; Cyanobacteriota; Cyanophyceae; Oscillatoriales
Also listed under: 1 other name
Description: tRNA-Ser
Rfam family: tRNA
About the family: Transfer RNA (tRNA) molecules are approximately 80 nucleotides in length. Their secondary structure includes four short double-helical elements and three loops (D, anti-codon, and T loops).
Source: RNAcentral